This is a long non-coding RNA of Stegostoma tigrinum, 593 nucleotides long. RefSeq lists it as uncharacterized. The transcript has 3 exons. The record is from RefSeq and is a predicted model, not a curated record. NCBI's taxonomy places the organism in Eukaryota, Metazoa, Chordata, Chondrichthyes, Orectolobiformes, Stegostomatidae.
UUGACUGUUUUGAUGAGGAACUUAAAGAUUACGAGUCCCGUCCGUUUGACUCAGAGUUUGGUACCAUAGGUUGGUACGAUCUUCGUUGGAGAAGGAAAAGGGAUGUUCCAGACACAGAAAAUAGUCAAACCAUUUACUACAAAGUCCGUUUCUGGGUGGAGUUAGUGGAACCGAAAAAGAUGUCUCCCUCACAGUGUUUGUGACAAAAGAAUUGCAUCGUUCCUUGGCGGCCUUUCAACAGAAGAAUAUUCAGAGAUUUCACGAGUGUCAUUUUGUAUAGACCACAAACAGCAGAGGUCCCAGCACAGAUCCCUGCGGAACACCAAUCGUCCUGGAUCUACAGCCUGAAAAGCACCAUUCCACCUCUUGCCUCUGUCUUCUCUGGGCAAGCCAGUUGUGAAUCCAAGCAUCCAAGCCACCAUUGACUCGGUGCAUCUUAAUUUUCUGGAUGAUCCUAUCAUGAGGUACCUUGUUGAAAGUAUUGCUAAAAUCCAUGUCAACAAUAUCCACUGCUCUACCUUCAUUGAUCACAUUCGUCACCUCCUCAAAAAAUUCAGUCAAGUUAGGAAGACAUGACCUGCCCUGCACAAAGC